UCAACUCCUCGUGUACUCAAUGUUCACGAGUUCGUGUAUUAAGUACUACAUUGUAUUGUCGCCUCUGUUUAGCUCUUUUUUUAAUGCAAGUUUACAGCUACUCGGACUUCCUAAUUGCAGGCUAUAUUAAACUACCGAUGAUCUAAUUUGUGGCAUUAUUACCUUAAGAAAAGAUUUGUGUUUAAUUUUCUUUAUAUGUAGGCGUAUAAGUUCUUACCAAAUGAACUUGCUCGGAUUUAAGAGGUUACUGAAAAAAUGCAAAUAUUUUCAACGCGGACAUGGUUUUAAACGGGUCUUUGCGCCAUUUGAUGUAACAGGUCAUCUAGUAAUAACAAAGCACUGGUUGAGUCCGUUGGGUUCAACGUCAUGGUCUUUUUGCGAAAAAGUCACUGUACGUUUUGAUAACUAAACCCGCAGUCCCUUUCUAAGUGACUAAACUGAGAUAACGUUUAGUUUUUGCAAAACAGACCCUGUAGUCUGAUAUAUUUGACCCGCAGUCCUUUUAAAAGUGGUUAAUCGAGAAAACGCACGGGCUCCUUCUCUGAUGCGUGCUCUCUUCGAUCCGUAAUGGCGCCGCCGUCGCCAGCGGAUAGUCUUCUUCUCCGGCCACCGUCCGUCGCCCUUUUCUCCUUCCCCUCCCCAUCCGGCCUUAAUCUUCUCCGGCGUCACCCGUAGCCUUCUCAAUCCCCAACCUCCGCUCUCUGAUUUGGAUCGAAGUUGGAUUUGGAUCAAAGUUAGAGUCCGUGUCCUUCUCCAGCACAAAGCCAUGGAGCAACUUGGCUGCCAUAAGAAGGAAGGAGCCUCGACCGGAAUCUCUAUCAGGUUGCGUCGCCAGAACCUCCAUCGAGCUCCGCCGAGUUCGCCGGCUGAAGAAGAACAUCCGUCAAGUCGUACAAUGUCGCCUCCGCUGAGUUCGCCGGAGGAACAACAUCCGCCGUCCGAACGUGCUUCACCAGAGAGGAAGCAGAUUUGGGGCUGCGCUUUGGUCUGCGGCGAGCUGGAUAGGGGAAGCAUUUAAUCCGAUCAAGGCCACCAACUAGACAAGAAGAAUCGAAUAACUCUUUACUGAUUACCAUGGGAGGCAAGCCAAAAUCUGACAGCGAGCACAGCUAUUGUGGUGCCUGGUUGCAUCCCUUGGCCUGGUGAGUAUCCAAUGACAUGGGAAAUUAAAGAUUUGCAUGAGACUGACGAUUGUGAUUUUGGCCCUGUACUGAAUAAUUUUGGGAGUGACUGGGUGAUGAUGAUUACAAGCCAGGCGGACUGCAUGUGAUGAGUUAAGGCACAAGAACUACGACCAUUUUAGCUCCAGCACCACAUAAUCUCGCGCAUUCAAAUUGCUAGCUACACGAAAUACGCCCAGAUCUACGAGUAGAAAUCCAAGUCUCAACAACAUCCAGGAGAUGUACCUAUGUAGCUACUGUUAGUUCAAAAGCUUUAUUUCACAAGUUGGCAACACGAUAUUCAGGAUGUUAAGCAGGUGGAACACCUUUGCAAUCUUAUCAAGCUUUACGCUAAACUGGCACUCUUACUUGAUCCCAUAUUACUCCUUCGAACAAUUUGUGCGCAAAGUUGAGGAAGUUGGGGCCAGUAAUCGUGUUAGAAUAAACCUCUUUCUUCCUUUAAGGAUUUGUUUCCAUACUGUGGGGCAGCAGGAUCUGAGUCCCACUAUGAGGGAUUGACCUUCAGAGAUAAGCUACCGGCGUCAUACUGCCCCCACAAGGUAAACCCGCCAUUUAUCUUGGGUCCCAAAUUGCAGUGUUUGUCCCUCUUCAUUUGUUAUUAGUCUAUGUGAUUUCAUUCUUUAGCAUCUGAUGUGGUAGACCGUUUAAUCAAUUUUCACGGAUAGUCUAGCUCAUGUGUUUCUGAUCUAAGUGGUGCCACAUGUUUCUUCAUGAAGCCUCACAAGAAAGUUAGAUUCUUCUCCAUAUCUUCAAAUUGGCUGUUUAUUGAUGAGCAAGGUUGAUUUGAGCCGUCUUCUGUAAGUGCUCCAUUGCAACCUUAAAACCAGUCGCAAAAUUGUUUUGGUCCAUGCACGACUUAAAUAACCUACUGUGUAUUUAACUAUUGAUGUGUAUAGGCAAUUAUUUACUUCUAUAUACGGAUAUCUUCGUUACAUCAAAAAAUGUUUUGUACUAAUUGGUAAGUAAAUAAAUUUAAAAUAGUCAGUAUGAUAGUUCUUCUCUCCUCAAGUCUCAGAUCUGUUUAGACCUAUUUUGUUUUUGUACUGACUCUUGAAUUUUCUGCUUUCUAUUUCCGAACCCUUUUGAUAUGUUCUUUACUCCUGAUUUCAGCCUUUUAAGGUCUGUUCUUCUUCAGGGAUUGCAGAGAGCAUGGACCACCGUCGUUGUCUUUGGUGUGUUGCUUGCAUUUUUCUAAUUCUUGCACUACAGAGACCUCAGUCUAUCCAUGUAGGUCAUGCCUUCUAAUCAGUCUUGUGACUCUUAUGUACGCGUAUGCUCUUGCAUUACUUACUAGAUCUUGUUAUAUACGAUGAUCCAUUGUCAGUUAUACAAAGGUUCUGAUUUUAAAAUUUUGUAAUGUUCAGUUUAGAUUUAAUUUUAUUCCACCUCUUUUUGAAUGGACAAUGUGUGUGCUGUUUAAAUGAUCACUAUGUGAAAUUCAUAGGCAUUGUGAGGGCAUGGAGAAAGGAUUCGAUUUUUGAUUCUUUUUUUCAGGGUUCAGAGCUAUUACCUGCUACACCUACACACAUGGAAAACUUAAACUUAGCAGUCCAAAAUUAAGCAGCAAACUUUAUUGCCGGUCAUCUGAAAAUUCAGUGACAACUGCUGACACAUGAGCUUCAUUUUUUAGUAGAGUUAGUAGAUGAUGCAGAUGACAGUUCUACCUCUCUGACUGAAACAAGAACUUUCUGACCAAGGGCAUACCUGCAGUACAGCAGGAAGUCCUAAGGCACGCAUCACGCAUUCACAAAAGAUAUGGAGCUGAUGUUUUAGAUCAGUACUAGCAUAUUGGUACGUAGUGUGUGUGUGUGUUUUAGCAUAGUAGUACUAGCAUACCUGCAGGAGGUCCUAAUUUUGUUCAGUUCUAUACAAAUUUGAGUUGGUACGUAGUGUUGAGAGGAUCCUAAAAUAUUGUACUACAUAAUCUCUUUCCAGGUUCUUGAAACUUGCACUCUUCUGUUGAAUUUCGCAUUUUGGUCGAUCUGUACUGCAUCUUUUAUUGUUGUCAGCCUAGAAUUAGAUCACAUUUUGAUCUUUAACAGCCAGAUUCAUAAUUAUACCUUAAUACUAAUUUAACUGCAUGAUUUAAUAGUGGCUGCAAUAUUAUUUCAUGGUCCACAACAGAACUAAAUGUAUCAAAAUGAAACAUUCUUCUUCCCAUGUGUCAAAGUAUUAAGCAAUCAAAUAUUUUAGUAUCUAAAUUGUUAUGUUUAGGAUGAUAUAUUUCAAAGAGCCACAUGUGCCCAAAACAAUGGUGCCAAGUGCGUAGACAAUGAAGCAUUACCUUUUCUUGCUAAGGUACAUAUGUUGAUUUCAGUUGUGUGCCACGUGUUUGCUGUAAUGUCUAGAGGAGAUUAUGAAGUGGUUUUCUUUGGCAAUUAAACAAAUAAACCUCCCGCCCUUAGAUUUUGAAGAACGUUUGUUUAUGCAAGGGUUUGCUGGGAAAAACCAUCUCCAGAAAAAUAGGGCCAAAUUUGAAUUCUAAUAGAGUUGAAAAGACGCAUAGAGCAAGAGACAAGAAUAAUACUUCCUUGUGGGCUUCCUGAGAAUCUACAAUGAAGAAUAAGAAGGGGGCAGUAACUAAGUAUGCAUGUCAUAGCUGAUUCUAUUGAAAAUAGUUAUACAUGCAUUUUCAGGAAAAUUAAGCUUUGAACCUUACCAACGCCCGUGAUUUGAAUCUUGGUGCUUGUGAAUUCUGAACGAAGUACAAGCAGCCAAUCUAUCUGAAUGAAUUUGUUGAUGAUUUGCAUGGUUAUUCUUCAUUCUGGGUGCAUGACUAUUCUUGGGUUUGAGCCUUGCAUGCAGCAAUGAGAUCUAAUUGCACUGUUUUGUGAGCCAUUUAAACUGAAAUCAAUCAUCCAUUUUAUUCAGAAAGUUUAUACCAAUACUUUGGAUCACUACUGUACUUCUAUUUCGACAACAAAAUUUGUUUCAACUUGCCAUGUGUCAGUUCACCAACAGCACCAAGACCAUGCAACUUGGAACAUCAAGUAAGAGCAUAUCCAUGUUUACUUAUUAUAUUCUUUGAGAAAGCUAUGGGAUUUACAAAUUGAAAAUAUGAAAUGUUCGAACAAUGUUGUUCGUUUGAUUACUUGCAAAGUUGUUUGAGUGGUAUUUUUUUCAACUGCUUAAGCAUUUAUUUAUUUAUUUAUUUUUCACCCGGUGCAACGCACGGGCACUUUCGCUAGUAAUAAUAAUAAUAAAGCACGCAUUGAGGCUCUCGGGUUCACCGUCACGUCCUUUUUACACAAAGGUCUCUGUGGUUUUUAGGAAUUGAACCCACAGUCCUUUUGUAAACCGAUCAAGAAAACGUUUCGGUUUUACAAAUUAACCCUGUAUUUAUCUGUAUUCAAUCCGCGAUCCUUUCUUCCAACACUUAUCCCCUCGCUCCAGCGCUAACCCUUCUCGGCCCCAAGCCGCUCGCCCUGGUCGCCACCGCCGGCCUCCAUUGCAUCGCCUCGAUGCCCGACGCCCGAAUCUCGCAGCCCUCCACCAGAUGAAAGCCGCCCGCCACCACAAGACCGCUGCUUCCUAUCAGACCCAAGGUGGUCUGGGCGCUGAUCCUCUCUCCCAGAGGCGCCACCAUCUCCGAGCCGCCGUGGAUCUUGUGCUGAUGGGACUGACCGCCUUCGUGGCCCUGGCAAGCUUGCUAGCCGCUGCCGGAGACCCAAAUCCCCGAGCUCUACGAGCAAGCUAGCCGUCCUAGACGGCUCGCCAAAAAACCUCUCCAUGCCCCCUUGAGCGGUUGAGCCCCGCAGCCACCUCGCCAUCCGCCGUUGGAGCCGAGCGCGCAGGCGGACGGGGACGAGGACAGCGUGUACAGUGGAGGUGUUUCAGGGACGAUGAGGAGUUCCAACAAAUGGAAGAAGCGGCGGCACUCCCCGACAACCUCCUUCAUGGAAUCCUCGAGCGCCUCGACCCACGCAAGGGGGCGACCCUUCCCCCACCGUCUCUUCCUCCUGCACCUUAACGUCGGCCACUUCCCUGGCGCUGCACCGGUCGAGAUCAUGGGCACAUUCACGGCUGCAACACAUCCAUGUAUCCUCCUCCAGCCGGGUGCAAAUGCGAUUGCAAGAUUGCUAUCGAGGCCCCCUCAUCUUAUGCAUGUCGGUCCUCAAGGGAGCAUAUAUACUCAUUGCUUCUCAUUCCAUAUUUGUUCAUUACGUUUAUUUGCUAAAUUGAUGCUCAUGAUUGACUAAUUGUGGUUCGCACUUCAGAAUCAUUUGCAUCUCUUUGUUAUCAAUUUUUGUUGCAACUGUUCUGCCUGCAAGUAGGGAUUCUUGGCCGCCCUCACAUCCUUCUCCUAGCCUCGUCCAGGCAAGGAAACAGUGACCCAGAGUCAAUGACUAAGUUGAUUCAAGCCGGCUCCUUACCAUGGUGAAGCUGUGAUGUGGGAUGGCGCCAUGGCGCCAUUGGUGCUACUUCUGAUUGCUCACAAUUUCAGUUUGGAUGAUAUGAUACAAGCCCCUGUUUCAGUUUAUUUUUUCUGAAAAAUUAUUGUUACUAGCCAAGGAUUGAACCAUGAAAUUUCAUGUUGCUGAAUACAUAUACCUAAACAUGGUGGCUUCAACUUGGUUACAGUAAUUCUUGGGCAUGAUGCUGGAGUAAUUCUUGAAGUUUCAUGUAUUCUGCUCUUUCUUCAGUUAUCAAUUAGCUUAAUUGCAUACACAUGAAUAGAUAUGCUUGCUGCACCUAGCAAAAUAAGAUUAGGAGGUGUAUUCGGUGGAGUGCAUUUAAUUGGUUUUGACAUCUCUGUAAUAUACUGUAUCCGUCGACUUUGCAGCUGUCGUCUCCGUCGACUUCGCCUUCGUCGUCUCCGUCGACUUCGCCGCAAGGCCAUCUGCCAUCGCCUCCGCCGACUUGGCCGGAAGACCAUCAACUAUCGCCUAGACCUACUUUGCCGCAGAUGUAAUUUUGCUUCAGGGUUGGCCAUAGCAGUUCUUCGGAGCCACUAGGCAUCAAUUGACAGAGAAGAAACUGUUUCUAUUAGUCCCUUUGAUUUUCUUCCGCUUGGGGAGUUCCUACAUGCUUUUAAGUAUCUGUUUUCACGGGAUAAUUCAGUCCCUAUGUUUCUUGAGAGGAUAGGACUAACUGAAAAAUAUUAUAUGGCUCACAACAUGAAGAAGCAUGCAGUAAUUUAUAAGUUUUGCUGUUUGCUAAA
Molecule: non-coding RNA, 6342 nt
Organism: Aegilops tauschii subsp. strangulata
Lineage: Eukaryota; Viridiplantae; Streptophyta; Magnoliopsida; Poales; Poaceae
Source: RefSeq, a predicted model, not a curated record